GUCCACGCUGUAAACGAUGGAUACUAGGUGUAGGGCUCGAUAGAGUUCUGUGCCGCAGCAAACGCAAUAAGUAUCCCGCCUGGGGAGUACGGUCGCAAGACUGAAACUCAAAGGAAUUGACGGGGGCCCGCACAAGCAGCGGAGCAUGUGGUUUAAUUCGAAGCAACGCGAAGAACCUUACCAAGGCUUGACAUCCUCUGACCUCUGUAGAAAUACAGAUUUCCUUCGGGACAGAGAGACAGGUGGUGCAUGGUUGUCGU
This 260-nucleotide ribosomal RNA is filed under the name uncultured bacterium. Its description in RNAcentral is "partial 16S ribosomal RNA". It matches the Rfam family "Bacterial small subunit ribosomal RNA", at positions 793 to 1055 of the family's 1533-position model. The record is from RNAcentral.